GAAGGUAUAGCUCAGUGAUAGAGGGCGGGCUUAGCAUGCGAGAGGUCCUGGGUUCAACCCCUAGUACCUCCA
RNAcentral lists this transfer RNA (72 nucleotides) under Camelus bactrianus (Bactrian camel). It matches the Rfam family "tRNA". From Rfam's summary of the family: Transfer RNA (tRNA) molecules are approximately 80 nucleotides in length. The record is from Rfam by way of RNAcentral. Lineage: Eukaryota; Metazoa; Chordata; Mammalia; Artiodactyla; Camelidae. RNAcentral also lists the same sequence under 1 other name.